RNAcentral lists this ribosomal RNA (438 nucleotides) under uncultured Alphaproteobacteria bacterium. Its description in RNAcentral is "bacterial SSU rRNA". It matches the Rfam family "Bacterial small subunit ribosomal RNA", at positions 43 to 527 of the family's 1533-position model. The record is from RNAcentral. Lineage: Bacteria; Pseudomonadati; Pseudomonadota; Alphaproteobacteria.
CAGGCCUAACACAUGCAAGUCGAACGCCGUAGCAAUACGGAGUGGCAGACGGGUGAGUAACGCGUGGGAACCUUCCCAGUGGUACGGAAUAUAACAGGGAAACCUGGGGUAAUACCGUAUACGCCCUUCGGGGGAAAGAUUUAUCGCCAUUGGAUGGGCCCGCGUCGGAUUAGCUAGUUGGUGAGGUAACGGCUCACCAAGGCGACGAUCCGUAGCUGGUCUGAGAGGAUGAUCAGCCACACUGGGACUGAGACACGGCCCAGACUCCUACGGGAGGCAGCAGUGGGGAAUAUUGGACAAUGGGCGCAAGCCUGAUCCAGCCAUGCCGCGUGAGUGACGAAGGCCUUAGGGUUGUAAAGCUCUUUUGGUGGGGAAGAUAAUGACGGUACCCACAGAAUAAGCUCCGGCUAACUUCGUGCCAGCAGCCGCGGUAAUACA